This 381-nucleotide long non-coding RNA is filed under the name Lepisosteus oculatus (spotted gar). RNAcentral's name for it is "lncRNA (ENSLOCG00000021769.1)". The record is from RNAcentral. Lineage: Eukaryota; Metazoa; Chordata; Actinopteri; Semionotiformes; Lepisosteidae.
GUUAGUUGGAGUUGCACUUACACUUAACCAUUCGUCAGUAAUGUUAAAACCAUUUCAGUUCUUAAAUAAUGAAAUAAUGUUAGAACAUAACUACAAAUCUGUGCUGAUUAAAUCCUUAAUCAACAAUAAGUUAAACCAUUUAAAAACAAGUUCUGCUUAAUAUUUCUUGUAAAUGACACAAAAUUUACAAAUGACUGCCGCCGUCCCAACCAGCAGAUCCUGUGAAGAGGACUUCUGGACAGACCAGCCAUGACAGUCCUGAAGAUCCGCCUGCCCUUGUUUCUGCAGCAUUCAGCCUACAGGAGCAAGCUUAAUCAUUACUUCACACGACCAACACGCCCUCCGGCACUUUCCUGCUGUCAGCAUCUUCUUGGUGCCUGA